RNAcentral lists this ribosomal RNA (372 nucleotides) under uncultured Bacteroides sp. Its description in RNAcentral is "bacterial SSU rRNA". It matches the Rfam family "Bacterial small subunit ribosomal RNA", at positions 355 to 726 of the family's 1533-position model. Lineage: Bacteria; Pseudomonadati; Bacteroidota; Bacteroidia; Bacteroidales; Bacteroidaceae. The record is from RNAcentral.
UGAGGAAUAUUGGUCAAUGGGCGGAAGCCUGAACCAGCCAAGUCGCGUGAAGGAUGAAGGUAUUAUGUAUUGUAAACUUCUUUAGCAGUGGAGAAAUAAGGGGGUCGCGACCUCCGAUGCUAGUACACUGAGAAUAAGGAUCGGCUAACUCCGUGCCAGCAGCCGCGGUAAUACGGAGGAUCCGAGCGUUAUCCGGAUUUAUUGGGUUUAAAGGGUGCGCAGGCGGCCUUGCAAGUCAGCGGUCAAAUCGUGGAGCUCAACUCCAUUCCGCCGUUGAUACUGCCGGGCUUGAUUGCGGUUGAGGUUGGCGGAAUUCGUCGUGUAGCGGUGAAAUGCAUAGAUAUGACGAAGAACCCGAUUGCGUAGGCAGCU